GACGAACGCUGGCGGCGUGCUUAACACAUGCAAGUCGAACGGAAAGGCCCUGCUUUUGUGGGGUGCUCGAGUGGCGAACGGGUGAGUAACACGUGAGUAACCUGCCCUUGACUUUGGGAUAACUUCAGGAAACGGGGGCUAAUACCGGAUAGGAGCUCCUGCUGCAUGGUGGGGGUUGGAAAGUUUCGGCGGGUGGGGAUGGACGCGCGGCUUAUCAGCUUGUUGGUGGGGUAGUGGCUUACCAAGGCUUUGACGGGUAGCCGGCCUGAGAGGGUGACCGGCCACAUUGGGACUGCGAUACGGCCCAGACUCCUACGUGAGGCAGAAGUGGGGAAUCUUGCACAAUGGGCGGACGCCUGAUGCAGCAACGCCGCGUUCGGGAUGACGGCCUUCGGGUUGUAAACCGCUUUCGCCUGUGACGAAGCGUGAGUGACGGUAAUGGGUAAAGAAGCACCGGCUAACUACGUG
RNAcentral lists this ribosomal RNA (468 nucleotides) under uncultured bacterium. RNAcentral describes it as "partial 16S ribosomal RNA". It matches the Rfam family "Bacterial small subunit ribosomal RNA", at positions 28 to 507 of the family's 1533-position model. The record is from RNAcentral.